CUUGACUUCGAGGAGCAACACAUUGCACGCGGUGUGGUAGCCUUUUCUGAGGUUUUUGAGGACUUUGCUGAUUUUUGAAGCUUUUCCAAAACUUCUUUUGCAGCCGUUUGGUAAGUUAAACUUUGAAAACUUUGUGGGGGGGUUUUGGAGGUUGGGUGGGGGUGUUUGGAAUUCAAGGACUUGGUGUUGGGGAGAGGUUUGCAAUAAUUUGGGUGCUUGUGUGGUUUUUUCUGCAUUUUUAUGAUUUUUUGUGACCAUUGGGCCACUCUGCUGUUUUUUUUUUAAAAAAAUCUGGGUUUGAAUUUCUGUGUGGUGGGUGGCUGGGGGAACAGUUGAGGAGGGGUUUGCAAGAAUCUGGGAGCUUGUGUGGGUUUUUUUGAAUUUUUAUGAUUUUCUGUGACCAUUGGGCCAUGUUGUUUUUUUUCAAAAAAAAAUUCUGAGUUUGAAUUUCUGUGUGGUGGGUGGCUGGGGGAACAGUUGGGGAGGGGUUUGCAACAGUUGGGGAGGGGUUUGCAACAGUUGGGGAGGGGUUUGCAACAGUUGGGGAGGGGUUUGCAAUUUCUGUGUGCUGGGUGGGUGGCUGGGGGAACAGUUGAGGUUUUUGAAGACUUUGGUGAUUUUUAAAGCUUUUCCAAAACUUCUUUUGCAGCCAUUUGAGGAUUUUGAAGACUUUGGUGAUUUGCAGCCAUUUCGUAAGUUAAACUUUUAAAACUUUUUGGGGGGUUUUUGGAUUUUGGGUUGGGU
Molecule: non-coding RNA, 744 nt
Organism: Podarcis lilfordi (Lilford's wall lizard)
Lineage: Eukaryota; Metazoa; Chordata; Lepidosauria; Squamata; Lacertidae
Source: the annotation of a GenBank genome assembly